CCACAGUUAGUUUAAAUAGAAAUAAAUUCUGAGUUAAUCAGAUAUUUAUAUUUUCUAUGCUAACAUUUUGUUUGUGGUGUAUUACAAAUUUUUUCAGCCCUAAUUUAUUAAAAGAAGAAGAUAUAGAUGCUUCUUUUUUUAUAUAUAUAUAUGGUAUAAAAAUCAUAUAUAUAUUUAUAUACAAAAAGUAUGAAAUUAUUAAUUUCAUAUCAUGAAUAAUGUGUACAUCAAAAUUGAUGUAUGCACAAAUGCAUUGAAAUAGAGUAAAAUGUAUUUUAAAAUGAUAAUAUUUUGAAAAUAGGCCAAACAAAGAAGAAAUAUCGUUCUUACAUAAAAUAUUAAAAAAAUAUGUAUUAGAGAACGAAGAUUCUUUUUCAUAAUACGGUAGUAACAUGCGCAUAUAUGCAAUUGCAAAUAUAAAUUAUACUUAUUAAUGAUGAUAUUGCUAAAAAAUUGAUGAGAUAUAAUAAUAUAAUAUUAAUCUCAAACAAUGAAUGGAAUUAAUGAAAACUAAUUUUGCAUAACGCAGUUAAGUGUGCUGUUUUCUUUCGUAUUAUGAUAUAUUUUCAAAUAUAUAGAAAAUAUCAUAUUCUCAUAUAUAUAAUAAAUUUUAUUAUAUAUAUGUAAAAAAGAAUUAUAUU
RNAcentral lists this unclassified non-coding RNA (641 nucleotides) under Rhagoletis cornivora. RNAcentral describes it as "external transcribed spacer". Lineage: Eukaryota; Metazoa; Arthropoda; Insecta; Diptera; Tephritidae. The record is from RNAcentral.